Molecule: ribosomal RNA, 1952 nt
Filed under: human gut metagenome
Description: bacterial LSU rRNA
Rfam family: Bacterial large subunit ribosomal RNA
Source: RNAcentral
UAGACCCGAAACCGGGUGAUCUAUCCAUGAGCAGGUUGAAGCAAGGGUAAAGCCUUGUGGAGGACCGAACCGUCAACGGCUGAAAACGUUCCGGAUGACUUGUGGAUAGGGGUGAAAGGUCAAUCAAACCCGGUGAUAGCUGGUUCUCCCCGAAAUAUAUUGAGGUAUAGCCUCGGGAAUUGAUUAGCGGAGGUAAAGCACUGACAGAGCUAGGGGUCCUACCAGAUUACCAAACUCUAUCAAACUCAGAAUGCCGCUUAAUUGUAUCCCGGGAGUCAGACGGCGGGUGCGAAGGUUCGUCGUCAAAAGGGAAACAGCCCAGACCAACAGCUAAGGUCUCCAAAUCCAUGCUCAGUGGUGAAGGUAGUGGAACCGUUUAGACAGCCAGGACGUUGGCUUAGAAGCAGCCAUCGUUUAAAGAAAGCGUAAUAGCUCACUGGUCUAAUGGCUCUGCGCCGAAAAUGUAACGGGGCUAAGCAUGGUACCGAAGCUUUGGCAAUCUCCUUUGGAGAUUGGGUAGGGGAGCGUUCGCUGCGGGCUGAAGGUGUGCCGGAAGGCAUGCUGGACUGCAGUGAAGUGAUUAUGCUGACAUGAGUAACGAUAAAAUAUGUGAAAAACAUAUUCGCCGAAAACCCGAGGUUUCCUGGGUAAAGGUAAUCUUCCCAGGGUUAGUCGGAUCCUAAGGUGAGGGUGAAAGCCGUAACCGAUGGAAAACAGGUUAAUAUUCCUGUACUUGUUGUGUAGCGCGAUGGAGGGACGCAGGAAGAUAGGCGGGCCGGGUGUUGGAUAUCCCGGUGCAAGCGUGUAGGAAUAUCCGGUAGGCAAAUCCGCCGGACGAAUCUGAGACGCGAGUCCGUGGGCGCAAGCCCUGAAGCCGUUGAGUCUAUGCUGCCUAGAAAAGCUCCUAAGUUUAUCCACAGCAAUCCGUACCGCAAACCAACUCAGGUGGGUGGGAUGAACAAUCCAAGGCGCUCGAGAGAACUCUGGCCAAGGAACUCGGCAAAAUAACCCCGUAACUUCGGAAGAAGGGGUGCUCUCUAGGGUGACAUGUUUAACAUAUGAAGCCCCGGGGAGCCGCAGUGAAUUGGUGGUGGCGACUGUUUACUAAAAACAUAGGUCUGUGCGAAGUCCUAAAGACGACGUAUACGGACUGACGCCUGCCCGGUGCUGGAAGGUUAAAAGGAGGGGUCAGCGCAAGCAAAGCUCCGAAUUGAAGCCCCAGUAAACGGCGGCCGUAACAAUAACGGUCCUAAGGUAGCGAAAUUCCUUGUCGGGUAAGUUCCGACCUGCACGAAUGGCGUAACGAUCUCCACACUGUCUCGGCCAGAGACUCGGUGAAAUUGCAGUCGCGGUGAAAAUUCCGUGUACCCGCAGAAAGACGGAAAGACCCUGUGCACCUUUACUAUAGCUUGACAUUGGAUUUUGGGCCUGCAUGUGUAGGAUAGGUGGGAGGCUGUGAACCCUGUACGCCAGUAUGGGGGGAGCCAUCCUUGAAAUACCACCCUUGCAUGUUUAAGAUCCUAACUUCUUCCGGUUAUCCCGGAGAAAGACAGUGUCUGGCGGGUAGUUUGACUGGGGCGGUCGCCUCCUAAAGUGUAACGGAGGCAUGCAAAGGUUCCCUCAGCCUGAUCGGAAACCAGGCGCUGAGUGCAAACGCAUAAGGGAGCUUGACUGUAAGAGAGACAUCUCGAACAGGAACGAAAGUUGGCGUUAGUGAUCCGGUGGUCCCGAAUGGAAGGGCCAUCGCUCAUUGGAUAAAAGGUACGCCGGGGAUAACAGGCUGAUCGCAUCCAAGAGUUCACAUCGACGAUGCGGUUUGGCACCUCGAUGUCGGCUCAUCACAUCCUGGGGCUGAAGCAGGUCCCAAGGGUACGGCUGUUCGCCGUUUAAAGUGGUACGCGAGCUGGGUUUAAAACGUCGUGAGACAGUUUGGUCCCUAUCUUCUGUGGGCG